CAGCCGCCGCGGGAAUACGUAGGUGGCAAGCGUUGUCCGGAAUUAUUGGGCGUAAAGGGCUCGCAGGCGGUUUCUUAAGUCUGAUGUGAAAGCCCCCGGCUCAACCGGGGAGGGUCAUUGGAAACUGGGAAACUUGAGUGCAGAAGAGGAGAGUGGAAUUCCACGUGUAGCGGUGAAAUGCGUAGAGAUGUGGAGGAACACCAGUGGCGAAGGCGACUCUCUGGUCUGUAACUGACGCUGAGGAGCGAAAGCGUGAGGAGCGAACAGGAUUAGAUACCCCAGUAGUCCCUGUCUCUUAUAC
This 301-nucleotide ribosomal RNA is filed under the name uncultured bacterium. Its description in RNAcentral is "partial 16S ribosomal RNA". It matches the Rfam family "Bacterial small subunit ribosomal RNA", at positions 509 to 807 of the family's 1533-position model. The record is from RNAcentral.